UAAACGACUCUCGGCAACGGAUAUCUCGGCUCACGCAUCGAUGAAGAACGUAGCAAAAUGCGAUACUUGGUGUGAAUUGCAGAAUCCCGUGAACCAUCGAGUUUUUGAACGCAAGUUGCGCCCGAAGCCAUUUGGUCGAGGGCACGUCUGCCUGGGCGUCACGC
Molecule: ribosomal RNA, 164 nt
Filed under: Orbivestus cinerascens
Lineage: Eukaryota; Viridiplantae; Streptophyta; Magnoliopsida; Asterales; Asteraceae
Description: 5.8S ribosomal RNA
Rfam family: 5.8S ribosomal RNA
About the family: 5.8S ribosomal RNA (5.8S rRNA) is a component of the large subunit of the eukaryotic ribosome. It is transcribed by RNA polymerase I as part of the 45S precursor that also contains 18S and 28S rRNA.
Source: RNAcentral